GAGCCACAUGGGAGGGAUGAACUUGAGAACUUACAAAAUUAAAACAAAAGGCAGAAGACCUAGAGUCAAGUGCUUGUGGAUGAAGUCAGCAAAUGCUUGGUCCCUGCCCAGGGUGGCUCCCAGCAGGGAUUCUCAACAAAAGUCUUCCCGGCAGGCUCCAAGUGGCUGGGCCUGCGAGAUGCUGUGACUCUUCAAGAGCUUCCUGUUUCUGUGAAGAUGCUCAGGCCAUGGCCUCAUGUUCCUCAUCCAGCUUUCUGAGGACAAUGCGGGAAAGAUCUCAAGUCCGUAUCAAGGCUGAAUCCGACUCUAUCCACGUGACUUCUAUUGGAAUCCGAGAGUUGGACCCAAUGGAGGGUCCAGCCACCACCCGGAAUGACCUGGUCAUCUUCCAGAUGAGGGGACCUAUGUUUAGAUGAAUGAAGACAAUGAGGCUGAGAGAUGUUCAGUUACUUGGUCAAAUUACAAAUAUGUGCGCUUCAAA
Long non-coding RNA from Symphalangus syndactylus (siamang), 481 nucleotides. RefSeq lists it as uncharacterized. The record is from RefSeq and is a predicted model, not a curated record. NCBI's taxonomy places the organism in Eukaryota, Metazoa, Chordata, Mammalia, Primates, Hylobatidae.